GACGAACGCUGGCGGCGUGCUUAACACAUGCAAGUCGAACGGAAAGGCCCUGCUUUUGUGGGGUGCUCGAGUGGCGAACGGGUGAGUAACACGUGAGUAACCUGCCCUUGACUUUGGGAUAACUUCAGGAAACUGGGGCUAAUACCGGAUAGGAGCUCCUGCUGCAUGGUGGGGGUUGGAAAGUUUCGGCGGUUGGGGAUGGACUCGCGGCUUAUCAGCUUGUUGGUGGGGUAGUGGCUUACCAAGGCUUUGACGGAUAGCCGGCCUGAGAGGGUGACCGGCCACAUUGGGACUGAGAUACGGCCCAGACGCCUACGGGAGGCAGCAGUGGGGAAUAUUGCACAAUGGGCGGAAGCCUGAUGCAGCAACGCCGCGUGCGGGAUGACGGCCUUCGGGUUGUAAACCGCUUUCGCCUGUGACGAAGCGUGAGUGACGGUAAUGGGUAAAGAAGCACCGGCUAACUACGUG
Molecule: ribosomal RNA, 468 nt
Filed under: uncultured bacterium
Lineage: Bacteria
Description: partial 16S ribosomal RNA
Rfam family: Bacterial small subunit ribosomal RNA
Source: RNAcentral